CAACACUGUAAUUCAUUGCUCAAGGUCAUAAAAGGUUGUAAAUUUUAAAUAGCCCUCCUUCAGCUGAAAACACUGCAGAAAUAGCUCAUUAGUAGAUCACUGCUGAAUGAAUGACUAAAGCAGAGGUAUCUAUUUUGUUUUGGUAUUUUCAUGAACUCCGAUCAGUUCAGCCGGUGACGCGCUGGUCGCGCCGUCGCCUGCGCUGUGACGUCACCGCCCCGGCAGUGCGGCGAGGGGCCGGCAGGGGGCGCCAGGGAGCCGCGGCGGCGCCGCAGCUGCUGGAGACGGAACAGAAUGUGCUGCCAACGCGCAGAGCCUGGAAGAGCUUGUCCGACACAUCUGUCUCCUGCAGGAGCGGCGGGGGGAUGUGCUAUAAACAGGAAGGGCAGCAGCACCUACUGCAGCUCCUCUGACUGUCUCAGCUCAGGAGCUCGUUGAACUCGGGAUCCCAGUCCUGUUUCCUGAAAGAAAGCAGCUUCACC
Molecule: long non-coding RNA, 482 nt
Filed under: Lepisosteus oculatus (spotted gar)
Lineage: Eukaryota; Metazoa; Chordata; Actinopteri; Semionotiformes; Lepisosteidae
Description: lncRNA (ENSLOCG00000022117.1)
Source: RNAcentral